Molecule: RNase P RNA, 326 nt
Filed under: Bacteriovorax sp.
Lineage: Bacteria; Pseudomonadati; Bdellovibrionota; Bacteriovoracia; Bacteriovoracales; Bacteriovoracaceae
Description: RNase P RNA component class A
Rfam family: Bacterial RNase P class A
About the family: Ribonuclease P (RNase P) is a ubiquitous endoribonuclease, found in archaea, bacteria and eukarya as well as chloroplasts and mitochondria. Its best characterised activity is the generation of mature 5'-ends of tRNAs by cleaving the 5'-leader elements of precursor-tRNAs. Cellular RNase Ps are ribonucleoproteins.
Source: RNAcentral
CGAGAAGAGGGAAUCAUCGCUGGUAUUCUAGCAAUAGAAUACGGGAGGAAAGUCCGGACACCACAUGGUAACGUAGCGGGUAACGCCCGUCCAUCGCGAGGUGAGGACAAGUGCAACAGAAAGUAUGUACAGGUAAUGCUGUAGUGAAAACAGGUAAACUCUACGUGGUGCAAGCUCAAAUAGGCAAAGUUGUUUUCUUAGCAAUAGGAAAACUAGGAAGGACCACUUCCGAAGGUUGCGGGUAGAGUGCUCGAGGGUGAGGGUAACUUCACUCCUAGAUGAAUGAUGGUUGAAAACAGGAUCCGGCUUAUCCCUUCUCUCGGUUU